RNAcentral lists this ribosomal RNA (402 nucleotides) under uncultured bacterium. RNAcentral's name for it is "bacterial SSU rRNA". It matches the Rfam family "Bacterial small subunit ribosomal RNA", at positions 355 to 772 of the family's 1533-position model. The record is from RNAcentral.
UGGGGAAUCUUGGACAAUGGGGGCAACCCUGAUCCAGCCAUGCCGCGUGAGUGAUGAAGGCCUUAGGGUCGUAAAGCUCUUUCGCCUGUGAAGAUAAUGACGGUAGCAGGUAAAGAAACCCCGGCUAACUCCGUGCCAGCAGCCGCGGUAAUACGGAGGGGGUUAGCGUUGUUCGGAAUUACUGGGCGUAAAGCGCACGUAGGCGGAUCGGAAAGUUGGGGGUGAAAUCCCGGGGGCUCAACCCCGGAACUGCCUCCAAAACUAUCGGUCUAGAGUUCGAGAGAGGUGAGUGGAAUUCCGAGUGUAGAGGUGAAAUUCGUAGAUAUUCGGAGGAACACCAGUGGCGAAGGCGGCUCACUGGCUCGAUACUGACGCUGAGGUGCGAAAGUGUGGGGAAGCAAA